RNAcentral lists this non-coding RNA (89 nucleotides) under Cnuibacter physcomitrellae. Its description in RNAcentral is "Glycine sequence". It matches the Rfam family "Glycine riboswitch aptamer". Rfam says of the family: This family represents the bacterial glycine riboswitch. The record is from Rfam by way of RNAcentral. Lineage: Bacteria; Bacillati; Actinomycetota; Actinomycetes; Micrococcales; Microbacteriaceae.
CACGUCACAGCGGGAGAGCCGGCUCGAGCCGGCACCGAAGGAGCAAUCCUCCCCGAUAAUCUCUCAGGUCCUCGUACCGCUGUGACCAG